Dreissena polymorpha is the source of this 924-nucleotide long non-coding RNA. RefSeq lists it as uncharacterized. The transcript has 2 exons. The record is from RefSeq and is a predicted model, not a curated record. Lineage: Eukaryota; Metazoa; Mollusca; Bivalvia; Myida; Dreissenidae.
UUUUUAUACGCCCGUAUAAAAUACGGGACGUAUUAUGUGAAACCCCUUGGCGGGCGGGCGGGCGGCGGGCGGAAGGCAUCACUUUGUCCGGACUCUAAUUCAAAUUGUAUUCAUCCGAUCUUCACCAAACUUGGUCAGCAGUUGCAUCUAGUUGAUAUCUAGGCCAAGUUCGAAUAUGGGUCAUGCCGGGUCAAAAACUAGGUCAUAGGGUCAAUAAGUGCAUUUUCAAAGGGGCCACUUUGUCCGGACUCUAUUUCAAAUUGUAUUCAUCCGAUCUUCACCAAACUUGGUCAGCAGUUGCAUCUAGUUGAUAUAUAGGCCAAGUUCGAAUAUGGGUCAUGCCGGGUCAAAAACUAGGUCAUAGGGUCAAUUAGUGCAUUUUCAACGGCGCCACUUUGUCCGGACUCUAAUUCAAAUUGUAUUCAUCCGAUCUUCACCAAACUUGGUCAGUAGUUGCAUCUAGUUGAUAUCUAGGUCAAGUUCGAAUAUGGGCCAUGCCGGGUCAAAAACUAGGUCACGGGGUCACUUAGUGUAUUUCAAGGAUUUAGCAUGGUGUCCGCUCUCUAAUUGAAGUUGUUUUCAUCCGAUCUUCACCAAAUUUGGUCAGAAGUUGUGUCUAAAUGAUAUCCAGGUCAAGUUUAAAUAUGGGUAAUGCCGGGUCAAAAACAAGGUCAUGAGGUCAAUUAGUGCAUUUCAAGCAUUUAGCAUCACCAAACUUGGUCAGAAGUUGUAUCUAGACAAUAUCUAGGUCAAGUUCGAAUAUGGAUCAUUCUGGGUCAAAAACUAGGUCACAGGGUCACUUAGUGCAUUUCAAGAAUUGAGCAUGGUGUCCGCUCUCUAAUUGAAGUAGUUUUCAUCCAAUCUUCACAAAACUUGGUCUGAAGUUGUAUCUAGACAAUAUCUAGGUCAAGUUCGAAUAUGGGU